AAUUAUUUCAAGGUGAAUUGUCUCCUUCCACCCAAUCCAAAUUUCCCUUGAAAAGCCUGUUGCUUCUAUGCGAUGUGAAUGAUGAAAUCCAAGUUUAACAAUUAUUUCAUCUGCCUUGCUGCCACUAAGCUUUGGUUCUAAAAGUCCUAUAAUAUCUGGUCUAAAUUCCAUGUUAUAUUCUCUAAAGAUGCGUGGGAAUUUGAGACUUGCGCAUCCUUGGCAAUUCCAGACAAAAAUUGAUAAAUUAAUUUUACUAUUCAUCAUGAAGGUUUAGAAAGAAUUACCCAGUCUAGUUUUGCAGUCGUGUGUCAUUUCUGCUUUCUGCAUUCCUAUCUCCUUCUUCAUUUGAUUUAAUGAAUAUGCUUUGCUUGACUUGUUCAUGUAACAGAUCCACCAUAUUAGCCAUUGACUCUGCCAAAGUAAUUUUGAGGGACGUGACUUUGAAAGGGCUUCCUUUAUCCUGAAUUAUCCUUUUGAUUUUUUGCCCUUUUGUGCUGCCGUUUGUUUUCCCCCCACUGGUGCUUACUAUAGGUGAAUUCUUUCGUCGCCCCAUAUGGUUUUUGGAUAUUAGUCGAUCUUCAUGUUUUUCCUGGUGGUUGUUUGGAUCUUUGAACACUACUAUUGAGUGUUUGGUUGGAUAUAGAAUUCCGUUGGUAGGUGUCACUGCGACCUCCUUUGCACUUUCAGCAGUGGAAUGGAGGCUAGGUUGGGAUCCCGGGUUUGUUGUCGACUGUGAAUAUUUAAUUUCUCUCAUGAUCUAUCUCUCAUUCUUUGUAUUGUUUGCUUUGUCUUCUGUUGCUUCAAUUCCCGAUUCUCCCCCUGUUUGUUGUAUCGCAGAUUGUGUUUCUUCCAAAACCCUAUUCUCUGGUUCUGUUUGUAUUUUUAUUCCUGGUACAGGAUGCAUUAUGCCUGAUUGCUCUUGUUUUCCUGAAUUGUAACCAGUCUGGUUUCUUUUAGGAGAUGAACUGGGCCCAAACGUUUUGGUCUGAGUCUGUUUAAAAUUCGAGUUAGCUGGAGCCUAUUUAUCUAUUUUUUGCUGGAGCUGGCCUGUGGAUGAGGGUCCACUAUUUGCUUCUAUUGGGCACACACAAUUCCAUGCCUCUGUUUGGGUUUGAAUUGUUUCCAUAAUGGGCCUGUUCUCUUCUGAGCCCAUUUCGUCAAUUAGGGUUUCCAAAGGUUGAAACCUAAUAUUUUUUUGUUUCUUCUCUUUGGCUGCGCCGUUGCUGUUCUGCCUCUCUUUUGACCAUCGCCGGUUGCGUUUUUCCACGAGCAUCCAAGGUCUAUAGUCACCAGAGUUGUUUGUAAGGUUGCUUUCUCUUGAAUCAGGUCUGUUUUUCGGAAUUGUUUCUUCUCCCGAGAAGCUUUCUUUCUAUUGGUGUUGAACAGUCGUCGAUUUUGGGCAUAUAUCCUGUUUAUGUCCAUAGUGGCCACAAGAGAAACAUACCGUAGGAAGGUGUUCAUACUCGAUUCUUUGUGGUAUUCCAUUGAUUAGAACUUUCGAUGUAAGGGCCUUUCCAAGAUUGACGUAGACUGUCAUUCUUGCAAAUCUUCCCCGAACACCAUUGUAAGUGUUAAAGUCCAAUUUUGCGACUGUUCCCACCAUUCCUCCUAUUUCUCAGAGAAUUUUCCUUUUGUACAUAUGUCCAGGCAAUCCUGGUAGUCGUAUCCAAGCCAUGACCAUAUUCUGGUAUGGUUGCGAAGGUUAAAUUCAAUGCUCCAAGGUUGAACAGUUAGAUAUUGCCCAUAAACUAUCCAAGGCCCUAGACUUAAAACCCUCUCAAAGUCUCCGACGUUCUGGAAUUUAGCCAGAUAGUAGCCGUUUUCGAUGUCCAUUAAUCUGAACGGUUGGCUCGGUUUCCACAAGGAAUGGAUCUUGUUUUGCAGUGUUGCGUAACCAAUUUUUCUUCCCAAGAGCUUGAUUACUACCGCCUGUACCGGUGAGACGAUCCUUCCAUGACCUAGGCUUGUUUGGUGUCAAGUUAGUUUCAAUAUCAACAUCCGCAUCUCGAUUUUGAAUUUCGAUUGCUCCUUUCUUUGCUUGUCGAUUAUCGCUCCGUCUAUCGUCGACUUUCUCUCGCUCUUCAGAAUCCAUCGUCUCUCUUUGAUGAAAUUCUUAAUCUAGUUGCUGUAAAUGUUGAUAUUGAGUCAAUUGAUGAUUAAAAAAAAUCUGAAAGUAAGCAAAACAAUUAAUCAUUAUGUUCA
This is a long non-coding RNA of Gossypium arboreum, 2202 nucleotides long. RefSeq lists it as uncharacterized. NCBI's taxonomy places the organism in Eukaryota, Viridiplantae, Streptophyta, Magnoliopsida, Malvales, Malvaceae. The record is from RefSeq and is a predicted model, not a curated record. The transcript is spliced from 2 exons.